UAAGUUCUGAAGCAUUCGCGGAGCCUUUAUUUUGAACCUACAUCAUUUAAACGGGAUUUCAAAUAAUGUAGGAAGCGUAUAUCAGGCCUCGUAAAAAAUACCGCAUGCGGACGGAGGAAGAUAGAAACUUCCCUGAGAAAACCCACCUAUCGCAAGAUAGGGAUCAAAAUGUUGGCAGCGGUGCUUUGGAAUAUGU
Molecule: non-coding RNA, 196 nt
Filed under: Clostridiaceae bacterium
Lineage: Bacteria; Bacillati; Bacillota; Clostridia; Eubacteriales; Clostridiaceae
Also listed under: 1 other name
Description: 6S RNA
Rfam family: 6S / SsrS RNA
About the family: E. coli 6S RNA was the first non coding RNA to be sequenced, but its function was unknown until recently.
Source: RNAcentral